Long non-coding RNA from Tympanuchus pallidicinctus (lesser prairie-chicken), 1243 nucleotides. RefSeq lists it as uncharacterized. The record is from RefSeq and is a predicted model, not a curated record. The transcript is spliced from 5 exons. Lineage: Eukaryota; Metazoa; Chordata; Aves; Galliformes; Phasianidae.
CCCACGGUCCCCACAGGGUGGAUGCGGAAAAGAAAUGGAGCUGAGAUGCAUCUGUGUGCUGUGAGUGCUAUUGCUGAGGACAGGGAGGAGCCCCAGCUGAUCAAAGGGCUUUGGUAAGAACAGUGGUGAAAGCAGGAGUGGAGAUGGAAGGCUUGGAUUGCUCUCGGAGGAACGGUGGAAGGGUCAAAUGUUCUGCAGGUUCAGCACGCGCUGCGCCCUGCCUGCGCCCUGCCUGGUUUUUUGUCCUUUCCUUUUUAGGGUAGGAAAACAAAUUUCUGGGGCAGGAGAAGAAGAAAUGCAGCAGUCUUCUGUGCACGGCUCAUUUUGCGUGAGUUGCCAGGUGCUGCUGUGGUAAUGGGUGCUGAUGAGGCAGCCUUCAUGGCAGGGCUGUGGCUUUAUUUUAUGUCAGAAUUUGAGGCCUACGAUUUUCCCACUCAACUGGGGUGUUGAUGCUGCUGCACGUAUCUCCCAUUUUGCCCUUCUGCUUUGUGUAACAGAAUAGCAAAACAUGCCAUCUCUGUGUGCAAUUUCUGAACACAGCGGUGAUGCAGGCACUCGCUGAGGUCACAGUGGCUGCCGGGCUGGGAGCGUUUGUGCCCCAGCUGGGAGCAGAGCUGGUGCUCUAGUGAGCGUGGUGCACACUGAGACCGAGCUCUGUGCUUUCAUUGAGAGAUCUUCCUGUGAGAGCCCACUGGAAGCAGCGCUGCGGCGUGUGUGAGAGCUGGGCACAGCUCCGGCUGAGCAGUGGCCAGGUGAGCUGGGGUUGGUGCUGGGUGUCUCAGCAGGAAAGCUGGGCUGGGGUGGGCAGCUGCGUCAGCCCUUGUCCAGGCUGGCGGUGAGACAAAAGGAGUUUUCUUCACGACAGCAACACCAGCCGUGUGCUUCAAGGUGCAAAACUAUGGAGGAGAUGGAGAAGAACGCUUGCUGUCAGAACUCAUGGCAGCUGCACGGGAGCUGGGUGGUUGGUUUACAAAAGGAGGUGUUGGGGACUGAGGCAGUUGAAGAGUGAAGCCAGCUCUUUCCACCAGCGGGGGGUCAGUCCCUGUGGAGAGGACCCCAGGAACGUGAGCUUCCUCUGAGACGUUCCCCACAUGUCCCAGCAGGGACACAGACGCGGUUCCCAUUCCUGCUUUGCGCGUGGAAAGAAGCAGCGCCGUGCUGUUCCCCAUGCUAGGGAGCAGCAGCCAGCAGGCUGCCCCAGUGCCAGCUGGGCCUUGCAGCGCGCAGAGGGACGCGAUGGGGA